Molecule: long non-coding RNA, 559 nt
Organism: Eucalyptus grandis
Lineage: Eukaryota; Viridiplantae; Streptophyta; Magnoliopsida; Myrtales; Myrtaceae
Exons: 4
Source: RefSeq, a predicted model, not a curated record
UUCAACUGCAAGGCCUCAACAAAUUGUCCACAUCCGUCAAAUUUCGAAGAUCUAAUGGAACGAUGGGGUUGAAUUUUGCAUCAACUUGUGGAGAUCACAGAGCUGCAGAACUCCAAGGCGUCUAGACUUCAGUGGAAAGAUGGGGUUGAUCUCGUAUGUUCAUUGCACUGCCGCGGCGGAGAAGCAAUUGGUCGAUGAAAAUAAUGCUUCGAUGAGUCGAGCUCUUAGGCUACGUUGUCGGGAUAAUUCGCGUUUCCUUUCGAAGUCAGAUAAAAGCAGGUCGCGCUAAUCAUCAUCGUGAUGUAUUUUGCCAAUUUCAUCAGCAUUUCGUAAAUUUGGUGAAGUCACGCUUGGAAAUAUACAAGCAAAAUGCUCGGGCUAUAUUAUCGACUUACUUGAGCGUAAUGAAUAAGAUCGGUGGAAAUUGCCCCAAAGAUGUGGUUUUCAGUGAAGUAGACUCACUGCUGUCAAGGGUUCAAAAAGAUAAAGCAAAAACAACAAAACUAGGAACCCUGUAUCUAUGGUCUCACUGCCAUCAAAUCAAGCAAUUAAAAAGGAG